This 494-nucleotide ribosomal RNA is filed under the name uncultured bacterium. Its description in RNAcentral is "partial 16S ribosomal RNA". It matches the Rfam family "Bacterial small subunit ribosomal RNA", at positions 28 to 507 of the family's 1533-position model. The record is from RNAcentral.
GACGAACGCUGGCGGCGUGCUUAACACAUGCAAGUCGAACGGUGAAGCGCCUUCCUUUUUGGUGGGUGUGGAUGAGUGGCGAACGGGUGAGUAACACGUGAGUAACCUGCCCCCUUCUUCUGGAUAACCGCAUGAAAGUGUGGCUAAUACGGGAUAUUCUGGGUCUGUCGCAUGAUGGGUCUGGGAAAGAUAUUGUUUCGGUGGGGGAUGGGCUCGCGGCCUAUCAGCUUGUUGGUGGGGUGAUGGCCUACCAAGGCGGUGACGGGUAGCCGGCCUGAGAGGGUGGACGGUCACACUGGGACCGAGACACGGCCCAGACUCCUACGGGAGGCAGCAGUGGGGAAUAUUGCACAAUGGGCGCAAGCCUGAUGCAGCGACGCCGCGUGAGGGAUGGAGGCCUGCGGGUUGUGAACCUCUUUCGCCAGUGAAGCAGGCCUGCCUCGUUUGUGGGUGGGUUGACGGUAGCUGGAGAAGAAGCGCCGGCUAACUACGUG